GACGGAAGGUGCAAGCGUUGCUCGGAAUCACUGGGCGUAAAGGGUGCGUAGGCGGCCGUGCAAGUCUGGCGUGAAAGCCCCGGGCUCAGCCCGGGAAGUGCGCUCGAAACUGCGCGGCUCGAGUGCCGGAGGGGAGAGUGGAAUUCCUGGUGUAGCGGUGGAAUGCGCAGAUAUCAGGAGGAACACCGGUGGCGAAGGCGGGUCUCUGGGCAGUAACUGACGCUGAGGAGCGAAAGCGUGGGGAGCGAACAGG
RNAcentral lists this ribosomal RNA (253 nucleotides) under uncultured bacterium. Its description in RNAcentral is "partial 16S ribosomal RNA". It matches the Rfam family "Bacterial small subunit ribosomal RNA", at positions 524 to 776 of the family's 1533-position model. The record is from RNAcentral.